AUCCAGCUGAUGAGUCCAAAUAAGAUGAAACGCGCAUUCUGGAU
Molecule: non-coding RNA, 44 nt
Filed under: Schistosoma mattheei
Lineage: Eukaryota; Metazoa; Platyhelminthes; Trematoda; Strigeidida; Schistosomatidae
Source: RNAcentral